Molecule: ribosomal RNA, 253 nt
Filed under: uncultured bacterium
Lineage: Bacteria
Description: partial 16S ribosomal RNA
Rfam family: Bacterial small subunit ribosomal RNA
Source: RNAcentral
UACGUACCGGACAAACGUUAUUCGGAAUUACUGGGCUUAAAGAGUGCGUAGGCGGCUUUGAAGGUGGGGUGUGAAAGCCCACGGCUUAACCGUGGAAUUGCGCUCCAAACCGCAAGGCUUGAGGAAGACAGAGGUGAGCGGAACUGAUGGUGGAGCGGUGAAAUGCGUUGAUAUCAUCAGGAACACCCGUGGCGAAGGCGGCUCACUGGGUCUUAUCUGACGCUGAGGCACGAAAGCUAGGGGAGCGAACGGG